AUUGAACGCUGGCGGCAGGCCUAACACAUGCAAGUCGAGCGGAUGAAGGGAGCUUGCUCCUGGAUUCAGCGGCGGACGGGUGAGUAAUGCCUAGGAAUCUGCCUGGUAGUGGGGGAUAACGUCCGGAAACGGGCGCUAAUACCGCAUACGUCCUGAGGGAGAAAGUGGGGGAUCUUCGGACCUCACGCUAUCAGAUGAGCCUAGGUCGGAUUAGCUAGUUGGUGGGGUAAAGGCCUACCAAGGCGACGAUCCGUAACUGGUCUGAGAGGAUGAUCAGUCACACUGGAACUGGGACACGGUCCAGACUCCUACGGGAGGCAGCAGUGGGGAAUAUUGGACAGUGGGCGGAAGCAUGGUCCAGCCAUGCCGCGUGUGUGAAGAAGGUCUUCGGAUUGUAAAGCACUUUAAGUUGGGAGGAAGGGCAGUAAGUUAAUACCUUGCUGUUUUGACGUUACCAACAGAAUAAGCACCGGCUAACUUCGUG
This 484-nucleotide ribosomal RNA is filed under the name uncultured bacterium. RNAcentral's name for it is "partial 16S ribosomal RNA". It matches the Rfam family "Bacterial small subunit ribosomal RNA", at positions 30 to 507 of the family's 1533-position model. The record is from RNAcentral.